ACCUCCCGACCGAACCUGCACACCGCCCUCCGCCACUGCGACCAGAGCGAGUCCGGUGAAUGACCCGGGCCAAGGUCCAGGUGACGAGUCCCUGAACCCCCCUUGGACCUGCUGAGGUCUCUCUGAGCUCCGGGUCCGAGAUUCACCCCGACGCCAGGAGACCUUCGCGGCCCCCACCCAGGAUGAGCCCGCGGGGGUUCACUCGGAUUUUAUCUAGUUUCUGGGUCUUUGACCAAUCACUGCGGAUCCUCCACAGACACAUGUGACCUGCCACCCCAUCUCUGACCAUGAGGGGACCCUGAGGUGAAGGGCUGUAGGCUUCUACCGGACAGAGAUUACUGUGACCUGGCAGCGUGAUGGGGAGGACCUGACCCAGGACACGGAGCUUGUGGACACCAGGCCUGCUGAGCCGGGACCUUCCAGAAAUGGGCGGCUGUAGUGGUGCCUUCUGGGAGAGGAGCAGAGAUACAUGUGCCUGUGCAGCACGGGAGGCUGCAGGAUCCCGUCAGCCUGAGAUGGGGUAAGAAGGGGGAUGAAGGGGUGGAUUCUAUCCACAGACAGCAGAAUUCAUGACACCUUCUGUAGACCUUCAGCGGCAUCACAGCUGAGGCCCAGUGGUCAGAACUCUCACCUUCCCUUUCGUUCCCGGAGCCCCCGCGUCACUCCAACAUCCCCAUCAUGGGAAUCAUUGCUGGUCUGGCUGUCCUUGGAGCUGUGGUCACUGGACCUGGGACCUGGAGGAGGAAGAGCUCCAGCAGGGAAAGGGGGGAAAAGAUGGAGCUACACUCAGUCUGCAAGUAAGUAUGGACGGGGUGAUCCCUGAGACCCUGGGUAGUGCAGACGGGGCCCCAUGAGGAGCUACCCACCCCAUAGCUCCCUUGUCUCAUCUCCUGG
This is a long non-coding RNA of Felis catus (domestic cat), 894 nucleotides long. RefSeq lists it as uncharacterized. The transcript is spliced from 3 exons. The record is from RefSeq and is a predicted model, not a curated record. Lineage: Eukaryota; Metazoa; Chordata; Mammalia; Carnivora; Felidae.